RNAcentral lists this ribosomal RNA (429 nucleotides) under Verrucomicrobiota bacterium. RNAcentral's name for it is "Verrucomicrobia bacterium partial 16S ribosomal RNA". It matches the Rfam family "Bacterial small subunit ribosomal RNA", at positions 355 to 776 of the family's 1533-position model. The record is from RNAcentral. Lineage: Bacteria; Pseudomonadati; Verrucomicrobiota.
UAGGGAAUCUUCGGCAAUGGGGGGAACCCUGACCGAGCAACGCCGCGUGAGUGAAGAAGGUUUUCGGAUCGUAAAGCUCUGUUGUUAAGGAAGAACGAGUGUGAGAAUGGAAAGUUCAUGCUGUGACGGUACUUAACCAGAAAGGGACGGCUAACUACGUGCCAGCAGCCGCGGUAAUACGUAGGUCCCGAGCGUUGUCCGGAUUUAUUGGGCGUAAAGCGAGCGCAGGCGGUUAGAAAAGUCUGAAGUGAAAGGCAGUGGCUCAACCAUUGUAGGCUUUGGAAACUGUUUAACUUGAGUGCAGAAGGGGAGAGUGGAAUUCCAUGUGUAGCGGUGAAAUGCGUAGAUAUAUGGAGGAACACCGGUGGCGAAAGCGGCUCUCUGGUCGGUAACUGACGCUGAGGCUCGAAAGCGUGGGGAGCGAACAGG